UCGAACGAUGAAGCCCUUCGGGGUGGAUUAGUGGCGAACGGGUGAGUAACACGUGGGCAAUCUGCCCUGCACUCUGGGACAAGCCCUGGAAACGGGGUCUAAUACCGGAUAACACCCCCUCUCGCAUGGGAGGGGGUUCAAAGCUCCGGCGGUGCAGGAUGAGCCCGCGGCCUAUCAGCUUGUUGGUGAGGUAGUGGCUCACCAAGGCGACGACGGGUAGCCGGCCUGAGAGGGCGACCGGCCACACUGGGACUGAGACACGGCCCAGACUCCUACGGGAGGCAGCAGUGGGGAAUAUUGCACAAUGGGCGAAAGCCUGAUGCAGCGACGCCGCGUGAGGGAUGACGGCCUUCGGGUUGUAAACCUCUUUCAGCAGGGAAGAAGCGAAAGUGACGGUACCUGCAGAAGAAGCGCCGGCUAACUACGUGCCAGCAGCCGCGGUAAUACGUAGGGCGCAAGCGUUGUCCGGAAUUAUUGGGCGUAAAGAGCUCGUAGGCGGCUUGUCACGUCGGUUGUGAAAGCCCGGGGCUUAACCCCGGGUCUGCAGUCGAUACGGGCAGGCUAGAGUUCGGUAGGGGAGAUCGGAAUUCCUGGUGUAGCGGUGAAAUGCGCAGAUAUCAGGAGGAACACCGGUGGCGAAGGCGGAUCUCUGGGCCGAUACUGACGCUGAGGAGCGAAAGCGUGGGGAGCGAACAGGAU
This 699-nucleotide ribosomal RNA is filed under the name Streptomyces sp. ME-1. RNAcentral's name for it is "bacterial SSU rRNA". It matches the Rfam family "Bacterial small subunit ribosomal RNA", at positions 62 to 778 of the family's 1533-position model. The record is from RNAcentral. RNAcentral also lists the same sequence under 2 other names. Lineage: Bacteria; Bacillati; Actinomycetota; Actinomycetes; Kitasatosporales; Streptomycetaceae.